UACGUAGGGUGCAAGCGUUGUCCGGAAUUAUUGGGCGUAAAGGGCUCGUAGGCGGUCCAUCGCGUCGGGAGUGAAAAGCUGGGGCUUAACCCCAGUCCUGCUUCCGAUACGGGUGGACUAGAGGUAGGUAGGGGAGAACGGAAUUCCUGGUGUAGCGGUGAAAUGCGCAGAUAUCAGGAGGAACACCAAUGGCGAAGGCAGCUCACUGGGACGAUACUGACGCUGAGACGCGAAAGCGUGGGGAGCAAACAGG
Molecule: ribosomal RNA, 253 nt
Filed under: uncultured bacterium
Lineage: Bacteria
Description: partial 16S ribosomal RNA
Rfam family: Bacterial small subunit ribosomal RNA
Source: RNAcentral